AGAGUUUGAUCCUGGCUCAGAUUGAACGCUGGCGGCAUGCCUUACACAUGCAAGUCGAACGCGAAAGCGGGGCAACCCGCAAGUAGAGUGGCGAACGGGUGAGUAAUACAUCGGAACGUAUCCAGUAGCGGGGGAUAACCUGUCGAAAGAUAGGCUAAUACCGCAUACGAUCUACGGAUGAAAGCGGGGGACCGCAAGGCCUCGCACUAUUGGAGCGGCCGAUGUCGGAUUAGCUAGUUGGUGGGGUAAAAGCCUACCAAGGCGACGAUCCGUAGCUGGUCUGAGAGGACGAUCAGCCACACUGGAACUGAGACGCGGUCCAGACUCCUACGGGAGGCAGCAGUGGGGAAUUUUGGACAAUGGGCGAAAGCCUGAUCCAGCCAUGCCGCGUGAGUGAAGAAGGCCUUCGGGUUGUAAAGCUCUUUCGGUGAAGACGAAACGGUUCAUGCCAAUACCAUGGACUAAUGACGGUACUCACAGAAGAAGCACCGGCUAACUACGUGCCAGCAGCCGCGGUAAUACGUAGGGUGCAGGCGUUAAUCGGAAUUACUGGGCGUAAAGCGUGCGCAGGCGGUUUGUUAAGACAGGUGUGAAAUCCCCGGGCUUAACCUGGGAAUUGCGCUUGUAACUGGCAGGCUAGAGUGUGGCAGAGGGGGGUAGAAUUCCACGUGUAGCAGUGAAAUGCGUAGAUAUGUGGAGGAACACCGAUGGCGAAGGCAGCCCCCUGGGUUAACACUGACGCUCAUGCACGAAAGCGUGGGGAGCAAACAGGAUUAGAUACCCUGGUAGUCCACGCCCUAAACUAUGUCAACUAGUUGUCGGGGAAGAAAUUCCUUGGUAACGCAGCUAACGCGUGAAGUUGACCGCCUGGGGAGUACGGCCGCAAGGUUAAAACUCAAAGGAAUUGACGGGGACCCGCACAAGCGGUGGAUUAUGUGGAUUAAUUCGAUGCAACGCGAAAAACCUUACCUACCCUUGACAUGCCAGGAAGUCCGCAGAGAUGUGGAUGUGCCCGAAAAGGGAACCUGGACACAGGUGCUGCAUGGCUGUCGUCAGCUCGUGUCGUGAGAUGUUGGGUUAAGUCCCGCAACGAGCGCAACCCUUGCCAUUAGUUGCUACAUUCAGUUGGGCACUCUAAUGGGACCGCCGGUGACAAACCGGAGGAAGGUGGGGAUGACGUCAAGUCCUCAUGGCCCUUAUGGGUAGGGCUUCACACGUAAUACAAUGGUCGGUACAGAGGGUUGCCAACCCGCGAGGGGGAGCUAAUCCCAGAAAGCCGAUCGUAGUCCGGAUUGUAGUCUGCAACUCGACUGCAUGAAGCCGGAAUCGCUAGUAAUCGCGGAUCAGCAUGUCGCGGUGAAUACGUUCCCGGGUCUUGUACACACCGCCCGUCACACCAUGGGAGUGGGUUCCACCAGAAGUAGGUAGCCUAACCGCAAGGAGGGCGCUUACCACGGUGAGAUUCAUGACUGGGGUGAAGUCGUAACAAGGUA
RNAcentral lists this ribosomal RNA (1493 nucleotides) under metagenome. RNAcentral describes it as "bacterial SSU rRNA". It matches the Rfam family "Bacterial small subunit ribosomal RNA". The record is from RNAcentral.